GCGGGGAAGUGAAACAUCUUAGUACCCGUAGGAAGAGAAAACAAGUGUGAUUCCGUGAGUAGUGGCGAGCGAAAGCGGAUGUGGCCAAACCGUGUGUGUGUUCAAGCCGGCAGGUGUUGCAUGUGCGGGGUUGUGGGGGCCUUGUGGUUCUGCUGCCGCAGGAUUGGCCAGUGAGAAAUGUUGCGUGAAGGUGAAGCGUCUGGGAAGGCGUACCGGAGUGGGUGAGAGUCCUGUAACUGUAAGCGUGGCACUGGUGUGGGGUUGCCCCGAGUAGCGUGGAACUCGUGGAAUUUCGCGUGAAUCUGGCGGGACCACCCGUCAAGCCUAAAUACUCCUUGGUGACCGAUAGUGGAUGAGUACCGUGAGGGAAGGGUGAAAAGUACCCCGGGAGGGGAGUGAAAGAGUUCCUGAAACCGGUCGCAUGCAAGCCGUCAGAGCCUGUGUGGUGAUGGCGUGCCUUUUGAAGAAUGAGCCUGCGAGUUAGUGAUGCGUGGCGAGGUUAACCCGUGGUGGGGGAGUCGUAGCGAAAGCGAGUCCGAUAAGGGCGUGAGUCGCGUGUUCUAGACCCGAAGCGGUGUGAUCUAUCCAUGGCCAGGAUGAAGCGUCGGUAAGACGUCGUGGAGGUCCGAACCCACUUCAGUUAAAAAUGGAGGGGAUGAGUUGUGGAUAGGGGUGAAAGGCCAAUCAAACACCGUGAUAGCUGGUUCUCCCCGAAAUGCAUUUAGGUGCAGCGUUGCGUGGUUCUUGUUGGAGGUAGAGCACUGGAUGGUCUAGGGGGCUUAUCGGCUUACCGAAAUCAGCCAAACUCCGAAUGCUGGCAAGUGUAGCGUGGCAGUGAGACGGCGGGGGAUAAGCUUCGUCGUCGAGAGGGAAACAGCCCAGAUCAUCAGCUAAGGCCCCUAAGUGGUGACUCAGUGGGAAAGGAUGUGGAGUUGCGUAGACAACCAGGAGGUUGGCUUGGAAGCAGCCAUCCUUGAAAGAGUGCGUAAUAGCUCACUGGUCAAGUGAUUCCGCGCCGACAAUGUAGCGGGGCUCAAGUUAUCCGCCGAAGCUGUGGCAACUUUUUUAAGUUGGGUAGGGGAGCGUCGUGUUCGUGGUGAAGCAGCCUGGUGAUGGGUUGUGGAGUGGAUGCGAGUGAGAAUGCAGGCAU
This 1150-nucleotide ribosomal RNA is filed under the name Picocystis salinarum. Its description in RNAcentral is "partial Bacterial large subunit ribosomal RNA". It matches the Rfam family "Bacterial large subunit ribosomal RNA", at positions 185 to 1303 of the family's 2925-position model. The record is from RNAcentral. Lineage: Eukaryota; Viridiplantae; Chlorophyta; Picocystophyceae; Picocystales; Picocystaceae.